AUUGAACGCUGGCGGCAUGCCUUACACAUGCAAGUCGACCGGUAACAGGUCUUCGGAUGCUGACGAGUGGCGAACGGGUGAGUAAUACAUCGGAACGUGCCUAGUAGUGGGGGAUAACUACUCGAAAGAGUGGCUAAUACCGCAUGAGAUCUACGGAUGAAAGCAGGGGAUCGCAAGACCCUGUGCUACUAGAGCGGCAGAUGUCAGAUUAGGUAGUUGGUGGGAUAAAAGCUUACCAAGCCGACGACCUGUAGCUGGUCUGAGAGGACGAUCAGCCACACUGGGACUGAGAAACGGCCCAGACUCCUACGGGAGGCAGCAGUGGGGAAUUUUGGACAAUGGGCGCAGCCUGAUCCAGCAAUGCCGCGUGCAGGAUGAAGGCCUUCGGGUUGUAAACUGCUUUUGUACGGAACGAAAAGCCCCGGGUUAAUACCCUGGGGUCAUGACGGUACCGUAAGAAUAAGCACCGGCUAACUACGUGCCAGCAGCCGCAGUAA
Molecule: ribosomal RNA, 497 nt
Filed under: uncultured bacterium
Lineage: Bacteria
Description: partial 16S ribosomal RNA
Rfam family: Bacterial small subunit ribosomal RNA
Source: RNAcentral